This is a small nucleolar RNA of Lontra canadensis (Northern American river otter), 103 nucleotides long. RefSeq annotates it as small nucleolar RNA U13. The record is from RefSeq and is a predicted model, not a curated record. Lineage: Eukaryota; Metazoa; Chordata; Mammalia; Carnivora; Mustelidae. The transcript has a single exon.
AUCCUUUCGUAGUUCAUAAGCGUGAUGAUUAGGCGUCUGCACCACAGUGUGACUGUGCUUCCCUCAAAGCUUGUUACAGCCUCGGCACAUUACCCAUCUGACA